GGUUCGAUCAUGGCUCAGAUUGAACGCUGCGGAUGUUUUACACAUGCAAGUCGAACGGCAGCACGGACUUCGGUCUGGUGGCGAGUGGGCGAACGGGUGAGUAAUGUAUCGGAACGUGCCUAGUAGCGUGGGAUAACUACGCGAAAGCGUGGAAGACACUGCACACACAGCUUCGGGGGAAAGCGGGGACCUCGGGCCUCGCACUAUUAGAGCGGCCGAUAUCGGAUUAGCUAGUUGCGUAACGGCUCACCAAGGCGACGAUCCGUAGCUGGUUUGAGAGACGACCAGCCACACGACUGAGACGGCCCAGACUCCUACGGGAGGCAGCAGUGGGGUCUUUAGACAAUGGGGGAAACCCUGAUCCAGCCAUCCCGCGUGUGCGAUGAAGGCCUUCGCUUAAAGAAUUUUGGCAGGAAAGAAACGGCACGGGAUAAUACCCGUGCAACUGACGGUACCUGCAGAAUAAGCACCGCUAACUACGUGCCAGCAGCCGCGGUAAUACGUAGGGUGCAAGCGUGUUAAUCGGAAUUACUGGGCGUAAAGCGUGCGCAGGCGGUUCGGAAAGAAAGAUGUGAAAUCCAGAGCUUAAUCCUUGAACUGCAUUUUUUAACUACCGAGCGAGUGGUUUAGAGGGAGGUGAAUCGCGUGUAGCAGUGAAAUGCGUAGAUAUGCGGAGGAACAACGAUGGCGAAGGCAGCCUCCUGGAUAACACUGACGCUCAUGCACGAAAGCGUGGGAGCAACAGGAUUAGAUACCCUGGUAGUCCACGCCCUAAAACGAUGUCAAAUCAGCUGUUGGGGCCUUCGGGCCUUGGUAGCGCAGCUAACGCGUGAAGUUGACCGCCUGGGGAGUACGGUCGCAAGAUUAAAACUCAAAGGAAUUACGGGGACUCCAACAAGCGGUGAGAUGAUGGUGAUUAACGAUGCAAUCAUGAAAACCUUUAACACCCUGACAUGUCUGGAAUCCCGAAGAGAUUUGGGAGUGCUCGCAAGAGAACCGGAACACAGGUGCUGCAAGGGCCAAUGUCAGCUCGUGUCGUGAGAUGUUGGGUUAAGUCCGGAGAACGAGCGCAACCCCUGUCAUUAGUUGCUACGAAAGGCACUCUAAUGAGACUGCCGGUGACAAAACCGGAGGAAGGCUGUGGUGGGGAUGACGUCAAGUCCUCAUGGCCCUUGCGUGGUAGGUCAUAUCAACAAGGUCAAAUUGUCGGGACAGAGGGUCGCCAACCUGCGAGGGGAGCCAAUCCCAGAAACCCGAUCGUAGUCCGAUCGCAGUCUGCAACCUGACUGCGUGAAGUCGGAAUCGCUAGUGUAAUCGCGGACUCAGCAUGUCGCGGUGAAUACGUUCCCGGGUUCACACACCGCCCGUCACACCAUGGUGGUUUUACCAGAAGUGAAGUAGCCUUCCAACCGUAUAAGGGCGACGUUACCACUGGCAGGAUUCAUGACUAGGUGAAGUCGUAACAAGGUAG
This 1471-nucleotide ribosomal RNA is filed under the name uncultured Bordetella sp. RNAcentral's name for it is "partial 16S-23S ribosomal RNA intergenic spacer". It matches the Rfam family "Bacterial small subunit ribosomal RNA". The record is from RNAcentral. Lineage: Bacteria; Pseudomonadati; Pseudomonadota; Betaproteobacteria; Burkholderiales; Alcaligenaceae.